RNAcentral lists this ribosomal RNA (629 nucleotides) under Amanita curtipes. Its description in RNAcentral is "eukaryotic LSU rRNA". It matches the Rfam family "Eukaryotic large subunit ribosomal RNA", at positions 57 to 649 of the family's 3401-position model. The record is from RNAcentral. Lineage: Eukaryota; Fungi; Basidiomycota; Agaricomycetes; Agaricales; Amanitaceae.
AAAAGAAACUAACGAGGAUUCCCUUAGUAACUGCGAGUGAAGCGGGAAAAGCUCAAAUUUAAAAUCUGGCAGCGUUUGGUUGUCCGAGUUGUAACCUAGAGAAGUGCAGCCUGUGCUGGACCAUGUAUAAGUCUCCUGGAACGGAGUGUCACAGAGGGUGAGAAUCCCGUGUUUGACAUGGACUGCCAGUGCAUUGUGGCGUGCUCUCAAAGAGUCGAGUUGUUUGGGAAUGCAGCUCUAAACGGGUGGUAAAUUCCAUCUAAAGCUAAAUAUUGGCGAGAGACCGAUAGCGAACAAGUACCGUGAGGGAAAGAUGAAAAGAACUUUGGAAAGAGAGUUAAACAGUACGUGAAAUUGUUGAAAGGGAAACAUUUAAAGUCAGUUGUGUUAGCUGGGGAUCAACCUGGGGUUAUUGCUUUGGGUGUAUUUCCUGGUUGACAGGUCAACAUCAGUUCUGACCAGUAGAAAAAGGGCAAGGAAAUGUGGCACCUUCGGGUGUGUUAUAGUCCUUGGUUGUAUCUGGUGGUUGGGACUGAGGGAUGCAGCACACCGUAAGGGCCGUGGCCAGAUCAUUCAAUGGGCUGGCGACGUUUGUGCUUAUGAUGUUGGCAUAAUGGCUUUAAGUGACC